CGAGUCGGUCAGGCGAUCGCUCUCGAGCCGCUUCACGGUGGCUCGGGGGAGGAAAGUCCGGGCUCCACAGGGCAGAGUGCCAGGUAACGCCUGGGGGGCGAAAGCCUACGGAAAGUGCAACAGAGAGUAAACCGCCCAAACGUGGCAAAAGCGGGGUCAGACCCCACUGCGUCAUUUGAGUGCCAUUUAUGGCUGGGUAAGGGUGAAAUGGUGCGGUAAGAGCGCACCGCGCGGCUGGCAACAGGCGUGGCGAUGGUAAACCCCACUCGGAGCAAGACCAAAUAGGAAUCCGUCAGCUGUGGCCCGCAGUGGAUUCGGGUAGGUCGCUACAGGCAGGUGGUGACACCUGUCGCAGAUGAAUGAUCGUCCACGACAGAACCCGGCUUAUCGACCGACUCAUCUU
RNAcentral lists this RNase P RNA (403 nucleotides) under Pseudomonadales bacterium. RNAcentral describes it as "RNase P RNA component class A". It matches the Rfam family "Bacterial RNase P class A". From Rfam's summary of the family: Ribonuclease P (RNase P) is a ubiquitous endoribonuclease, found in archaea, bacteria and eukarya as well as chloroplasts and mitochondria. Its best characterised activity is the generation of mature 5'-ends of tRNAs by cleaving the 5'-leader elements of precursor-tRNAs. Lineage: Bacteria; Pseudomonadati; Pseudomonadota; Gammaproteobacteria; Pseudomonadales. The record is from RNAcentral.